This 71-nucleotide transfer RNA is filed under the name Providencia stuartii. RNAcentral describes it as "tRNA-Glu(ttc)". The record is from RNAcentral. Lineage: Bacteria; Pseudomonadati; Pseudomonadota; Gammaproteobacteria; Enterobacterales; Morganellaceae.
UGUCCCUUCGUCUAGAGCCUAGGACAUCGCCUUUCACGCGGUAACAGGGGUUCGAAUCCCUAGGGGACGCC